AUAUACAUUGUAUAUCCGUUGUCAGCGACUCUCAUUUCCAUCAAAAGAUGUUUAUUCAAAAAUAAUGAAAAUAUGUAAAGAUUAUAUUUUACUUAUUAACAAACGUUUUCACUUCCUUGUGAUCAACUGUUGUUAAACCCUCAAUUGAAAGAAAUAGGUUUUACAAUAACUAAUAAGAACGUAAGGCAACGAAACAAGUAACUUGAGUGAAUUCAUUUGACAUACAUACAUUGCCAUGGAACCUAUUAUUAGAAAUCUACUUGGAAGGAUGGAUUGAGUGCGUGAAUAUUAAAAUCGAAAAUCGAAUAGCUGUGACUUCUGAGGUUGUAAUGUUCCAUCCACCAUCAAAUAUAUGAAUUGAGCAAACUACCCAUAUACUUCAAAGAUGGAUCACUGGAAACAGUCACCGACGCAAAACCGUAGGCCAAAUCAGCUGAUACGACCUAUCUUAUGAUAGCGCAUCGUAAUUGAAUACUCACCACCGCUUCUACAGACCGUACGGUAGGAUAUCCGCAAAUAUUAAAUUUUUAAGGUAGAAACGAGUAAGCUGAUUUCUCUCUUGCAACGAAGGGUUGCCAGUCUC
Bactrocera oleae (olive fruit fly) is the source of this 583-nucleotide long non-coding RNA. RefSeq lists it as uncharacterized. The record is from RefSeq and is a predicted model, not a curated record. Lineage: Eukaryota; Metazoa; Arthropoda; Insecta; Diptera; Tephritidae.